Piliocolobus tephrosceles (Ugandan red Colobus) is the source of this 2745-nucleotide long non-coding RNA. NCBI's taxonomy places the organism in Eukaryota, Metazoa, Chordata, Mammalia, Primates, Cercopithecidae. The record is from Ensembl.
AUGAGUACAAAACGUUUAAAUGCAAAACGUUUAAAUGCAAGACGAGGUGAUAUUAGUCGUAUUCUUACUAAUUAUAUAAGUACCUACAACCGAAACAAUAACAACAACGAGCGUAACUAUACUGAUCGUAGCAAUAAUAACCGUAACAAUACUAAUCGCAAUAACAAUAACGGAAGAAAAAAUCGAAACAGUGUAACAUUAAGUAAUAAUGUUGAUAGUGGAGAAAACGAUACGAUUGACGAAAGUUUUAUUUCUAGUUUUUAUUUAAUGUUGAAAGUUCUUAAGGAUAAUUUAGGUCAAACCUUUGUUGAAAGUAAUAGUAAUGGAAAUCUUGAUAGUACCAAUUGUGAGCGUGCAAAAUCAAAUUUUUUAAAAGACAAAGUUCUUGUUCCAUCUGUACAUAGAGUGAUUGAACUUAUGCAAAAAGAUAACAUACAUAAUAUAAAUGAAAUAAAAUGUUUAUUGAUUAAGUAUGGUUACGAUAUACGUAGAUCUUAUCAUGGUAUAGAUUUAAUGUUUUUUUAUUUAAACAAAAUAACUGGUAUAAAUGUAAAUGUUAUGAUCGAUACAAAUUAUGAAAAUAAUAAAACAAUAUAUGAAGUUUUGUUAAAUAAUUUUAAAUUAUUGAAUUAUGAAGAAGUAGAAAAUAGUUUUUAUAUAAUUAAUUAUUUAAUAGACACAUUUGAAUACAUUGAUUUUAAUUAUAUAUAUAAGAAAUAUGAAUCAUUUUUUAAAUUUACUAAUUUAAUGUUUACUGUAAAUAAUGUUUUUAAUGAUGUAAACAAUGAUCUAACCGAAUCAUUUGUUACCCCUUUUUUUGAUGUAUUAAAUAAUUUAUUUUGUUUUGGUUUAGGUUUAGUAGAUAAUAAUAUAUGGGAAAAUAAACAAGUAGUCCAAGUGAAUAAAUUAAAAUAUAUGUUUGAAGAGUUGUAUAAAACAAUUGGUACACUGUUCAUAAUUGAUCAACAAAUUAUUCAUUCUCCAAAAGACAUGUUUCAAUUUGUUUCUUAUAAUAACUAUUUUUGGUAUAUAUUAUAUAAACAGUACAACUUAUUUUUAACAAAUUACGAUAUAACAAAAAAAAAUAAUUGUCAUCUUUUUAAUUUUUAUUUGUAUCAUUUUUUUAAUUAUGUAUUUGAGUUUCCAUUAGAUAACUUUUUUAAAAUACAAAAUAAAUUACCUAUGCAUAUGGAAGUAGUAGUGGAACAGUUAUUUGAUAAGUUGCAAUUUUUAAAUAAAAAUGAUAAAACAUUAUUUAAAAUUAUUUUACGUUUUUUAUUACAAGAAAAAAAUCAUUUUUACAAUUAUUUUUAUAAUUCCCAGUCGUCUAUAUUAAUGUUUAACGUUAUUAUGUCCUAUAACAAUGUUUGUUUGAAUAAUGCAAAAGAUGAGUUGUUUUCGAAUACGUACACACCGUUGAAUUGUUAUGGCGGUGGAGUGGUGAAUAUGUUCAGUAGUGCAUGUUUAAAAGCUGACAAGGGAUUAGAACAAAACGACAUCCACAAAAAUGUUUUAUCCCUUUUAAACAACGACACAAUUUUAACCGAAACAGAAGAUAUAAACGUAAUAAAAACUACGAAAUCGUUUUAUUUAAAUAAUACAUUAUACAACUUGAAUUAUAUGAUCGAUUCAGAUUACCCAAACAGAUUUGUAAACUAUCAUAAUUCGAACAUAAAUAGCAAAGUGUUUUACAAUUUUUAUAAUAAACCUAUAAUAAAUAUAAAUAAAAAAGAAAAUAAUAAAUUAUUGAAUAUAUAUUUAACAUGUAUAUAUAAUCAUAAUGAACAAUUCAGAAAUAUAAAUAAUUUAUUUUAUAUAUACAGUAACUACUUUUAUAAUUUUUUAAAUAUGUUUAUGUUUUUUGAUGAAAAUAGGGACUUGUUUCAUUCUUUGUUUAAGCUUAGAUUUGAAAAUGACAUGGCAAAAGAGUUAGAUGAUUUUUUUAACAACUACAAAUUAAGGGAUAAUACUAUAACUGGUACAAAUUUGUCUACUGAUAUGAUCGGGUUAGACAUAGAUCCAAGCAUGAUAUCACAGGAUGUUGUAAUAGAACAGGCUAAUAAACUAACGAGUGGUGUACUGCAAAUAAGAGAUGCACAACAAACGAGUGAUGCACAACAAACAAGUGAUACACAACAAACAAGUGAUACACAACAAACAAGUGAUACACAACAAAUAAGAGAUGUACAACGAACUGAAGACAAUAAACGACUAGCUAGCACCUUACCCAAAUCACAAACAAAAUACGACUAUGCUAUUCAUAACUGUGUUAGCGAUGUAUACUAUUUAUAUGAUGGUAUAAUAUACGAUAAAAAUGAAGCAGAUAAUAUGAUUUAUUAUUUUAAAAAAAACAAAGCAUAUUUACAAUUUAUAGAUAAUAAUAACAUAAACGAAAAAGGAGAAUAUGAAUUUUUAUAUAGUAAUAGUAAUAAUAACCCAAAUAAAUACAAUAAUAAAAUAUUAUUAAAAAAGCAAAAAAAUGUUAGUAAUAUUCGUCGUAUUCAUAUUGGUGGAAAAUGUUACAGUACUUAUAACUUUAAAAAUAUACAAUAUGGAUUUACAAAUAAUAAUGAUAUUUUUAAAAAGAAUACAAGCAACAGUAUAAAUAAAUCAAAUACAAAUAAGAAGUCUACACAUGUAACAACUACAAGUUCUACUAAAAAAAACAAUAUGCAAGAAAAUAAAACAAAAGAUCAUUCAAAUACUUUUAAAAAUAAAAAUAAUCAUAAAAAAAAAAAAAAAUGA